UGUACUCCCUUGCUUGCGCUGUGGAGUUGUUCUGAAUAGAGUCAUCAAGAGCCAUUAGAGAUCAACAAAUUCAUGCUGUAAGCUGUCUUACCUGCCUUUCAUUGACUUAUUUAUAUUGCUUAUUUUUCUGUAAAGAUAAUAACUUUCUAUUGGUGCUUGUUGGUCUUGGGAGACUGAGGUUGCUAGGUUAGCCAGAAGAAAUAAAUAUUUCAGCUCUUGCCUUUACCAUAUGUUUCGUUUUUGAGAGUUUAGGUACUGAAAGAGAUCAUUCUUACCUUCCAAGAAACGAUGACAUGAUAUUGUGUUUAGACAGUUGCAAAUGAUGAAUGAUGUGGACUGUUAUCCGUAACCAAAGAAUGUAAUAAGCAAAUAAUUUGCAUAGAGACGAAUGUGAACAUGAGUGAUGUGGUCUAUGUGAGAACUGACUGAAUCCUUGAUUCGAGUAAGAACCUAUUGAUAUCAAAUUGGUUUAUAUUUUAUUGCACUGUAAGUUGACCUCAAAGGUUGGAACAAGCUAUUAUUGGGAAAUGAAUUUGAUUUGUUUGUCUCAGUAUUAUGAUGGUUUUGUUAACAGAAAAAAACUGAAGUGAUUUAUCAAUUGUCAGUAUGUGGUUUUAACUGCUUUUUCGGUUUUUGGCUACUAAUGAAUGAUAUAAAAUUCAAAGGGAUGGGAGUGGACAUAGAGUUUGGGAGUGAAGAGAUUGUAUAUUAGACUUUUGGAUAAGUUGACUGAGAAAAUAUUCUUGUUUUACUUGUUGAUCCUUGAAAAUAACUGGUUUUAGAUAAAAUUAAUAUGGGGAUAAGUUUAAUGUCCCAGUUACAUGUGGUGAAGGUUAACUCUUGUGAAUGACUUUCUUCCUCCAUUUUAUUUAUUUAUUUGUUCGGAAGAUGUUGUAUAUUUGGCCAUAUUCAUUGUUUGCCGUGUCUGAUUUCUCGUAGUCCCUAUGCGCCUUUAGAUUGUCCAUAAUGCUAUUCUCUACGCUAGUUUGGACAAUUGACAAUAGUACUUGUUCCUUAUGUUUUCUAUUUACAGAUUUUGAUUGCUGACUACUGACCAUAGACAUUGUUCCCAUACUUUUUUGAGUUAAUUGUUGGUGGUAUUAAUACAAGUAACUUUUUUCCUCUGCAGAUUAACCUGUUGGGGACAUAAACCAUGGGGCUUUUGAUGGUGAAAUGCAAUCUGACACAUUCGUUCUUGCCUACUGCGAAUCUGAGGGGUUUUAUUAAUUUGUUGCGAAACUUAUUUUUAGCGUUGAUUUCUUGUUGUUUUCUAGUGAGGACUUGAAUUUGCCCGCUGUGCAUACGGAUUUAUGUGCACCUUAUAAAUUUAUCCAACCGUUUCAACUAUCAUUUUGGUUACUCUUUAACAGAACUCUAUUAUUACUUGCCUUCUUUUUUUAAUCAACCAUUGUGACUAAUGAUCCUUUUUCUUUUACUCUUGAAUUUUAGGAAAGGUGAAAUUGCAGUGCAUGUCUUCAACCUUUCAAUUAUGCAGUUUUUGAUGGAUGGAUAAAUUGGAUACACCCUUAAUUUCAAUAAAAUCUACGAUGAAAUAGAAAACUUGGCUCAAGUUUGUAUGCAAAAGGAUGCAUAUGUGAUUGUAAAGAGUAAUACUAAAUAUUAGUGUUACUUAUUUAUUGUCCGAUGAAUUUGGAUUUAUUUAGAUUUUCGUAUUUUUGGAUCAUGAGCUUGUAGUAGACCGGUAAGAAGCAAAUUUGAAAAUGUCAUAAGGCCUAUUAUCUCCUAGGAAAGACACAGCUGGGAUUAGCAUGAAAUCAUAUUUAAACAUCAAUGCAGAAAUCAGGGAAAAAUAUGCUGAGAUUAUAUCACAUUAGAACUCUGUUCAUUAGUAGGUAAAGAGCCAUUCACAUAUAUGACGAUUUCGGCUCAACCUUGUUAAAGAGGAAGUCCCUGAUAGUAGAAUAAGAUGCUUGACCUUCACAGCAACAUCAAGCCAGGGCAGCUGCUACGUGAUUAUUUCUUGAUUCUUGGUUUAGAAGUAGAUGGAUCGAUGAUACAAAUUGCCCAAUGUUAAUACAGUUUAUGUUCGCUUUCGUUCACAAGAAUUCAAAUACCCUUGUGGGCUUUGUUUAUAAAGCAUAAUAAUUUUUAUUUUUAUUUUUUUAUUUUUUUAUUUUUUUAUUUUUUUUUUUUUGGCAUUCUCAGACAGACAUCCUGAUAUGAUUCAAAAUGGAGUGAAU
Molecule: long non-coding RNA, 2201 nt
Filed under: Olea europaea (common olive)
Lineage: Eukaryota; Viridiplantae; Streptophyta; Magnoliopsida; Lamiales; Oleaceae
Description: long non-coding RNA (OEUR_LNC010244)
Source: RNAcentral